This 455-nucleotide long non-coding RNA is filed under the name Sinocyclocheilus anshuiensis. RNAcentral's name for it is "lncRNA (ENSSANG00000002095.1)". Lineage: Eukaryota; Metazoa; Chordata; Actinopteri; Cypriniformes; Cyprinidae. The record is from RNAcentral.
UGAGCCAUCAGUGAUGUUUCUAUAUCAAAGAGGUUUCUUCUAUAUGUAUAUUCUUCUGUGUGUGGUGUAUUGUCACGUUAUGUUCAUGAAGUAGAUUUUAAACAGUAGUACUUUCCAUUUACUUGGACAUUAGCUAAAUAAAUUGUAUUUCAUAUAGACAAACCGCAUGACUGAAAUAAAUAUUUCUUUUGAACAUUUUGACGCUGAAGUGAGCGUUACUAUGUAAAUGAGAAUGCAAUACUAAUUGUCUAUUUUUUUUUUUGUGUACAGGAAUCAGAACAACUGGAUGAAAGAUGGCGGUUCGUUCAGUCUCAUAUCAUGUAAAUGUUCCUGAUCUGCCAAACGUCAAAGAAAGAUGAGGAAAAGGAUUUUCGCUAUGACGUUUGCCUGAAGAGGAUGCUUCAGUAAAGUUUCAAGGAACAGAAGACUGCUCUAACCAAUUCUGGACAGUCAAG